RNAcentral lists this ribosomal RNA (220 nucleotides) under uncultured Lactobacillus sp. Its description in RNAcentral is "partial 16S ribosomal RNA". It matches the Rfam family "Bacterial small subunit ribosomal RNA", at positions 143 to 354 of the family's 1533-position model. Lineage: Bacteria; Bacillati; Bacillota; Bacilli; Lactobacillales; Lactobacillaceae. The record is from RNAcentral.
AUACCACUUGGAAACAGGUGCUAAUACCGGAUAAGAAAGCAGAUCGCAUGAUCAGCUUUUAAAAGGCGGCGUAAGCUGUCGCUAUGGGAUGGCCCCGCGGUGCAUUAGCUAGUUGGUAAGGUAAAGGCUUACCAAGGCGAUGAUGCAUAGCCGAGUUGAGAGACUGAUCGGCCACAUUGGGACUGAGACACGGCCCAAACUCCUACGGGAGGCAGCAGAC